RNAcentral lists this ribosomal RNA (517 nucleotides) under Taenogerella elizabethae. RNAcentral describes it as "partial 16S ribosomal RNA". It matches the Rfam family "Bacterial large subunit ribosomal RNA", at positions 1810 to 2603 of the family's 2925-position model. The record is from RNAcentral. Lineage: Eukaryota; Metazoa; Arthropoda; Insecta; Diptera; Therevidae.
AAAACAUGUCCUUUAGAGUUUAAUUUAAGGUCUAGCCUGCCCACUGAUUUAAAUGGCCGCAGUAUUUUAACUGUGCAAAGGUAGCAUAAUCAUUAGUCUUUUAAUUGAAGGCUUGUAUGAAUGGUUGGACGAAAUAUUAACUGUUUCAUAAAAAUUUAUUUAGAAUUUUAUUUUUUAGUCAAAAAGCUAAAAUUUUUUUAAAAGACGAGAAGACCCUAUAGAUCUUUAUAAUUUAUUUAUUAUAGUUAUAUAGAUUAUUUAAAUUAUGAUUGUAUAAAUUAUUUUGUUGGGGUGACAUUAAAAUUUAAUAAACUUUUAAUAAGUUUUUACAUUAAUUUAUGAGUAAUUGAUCCAUUAUUAGUGAUUAUAAAAUUAAGUUACCUUAGGGAUAACAGCGUAAUUUUUUUGAAGAGUUCAUAUCGAUAAAAAAGAUUGCGACCUCGAUGUUGGAUUAAGAUAUAAUUUUGGGUGCAGCAAUUCAAAAUUAAGUCUGUUCGACUUUUAAUUUCUUACAUGA